RNAcentral lists this non-coding RNA (105 nucleotides) under Vibrio coralliilyticus. Its description in RNAcentral is "Glycine sequence". It matches the Rfam family "Glycine riboswitch aptamer". Rfam says of the family: This family represents the bacterial glycine riboswitch. Glycine riboswitches usually consist of two metabolite-binding aptamers domains with similar structures in tandem. Lineage: Bacteria; Pseudomonadati; Pseudomonadota; Gammaproteobacteria; Vibrionales; Vibrionaceae. The record is from RNAcentral.
GGAGGAACCUCUGGAGAGAACCGUUAAAUCGGUCGCCGAAGGAGCAAGCUUCAUACUAUCAAUGUGUGUAGUGAAACUCUCAGGCAAAAGGACAGAGGAGUGAAA